GGGGAAUAUUGGACAAUGGGCGAAAGCCUGAUCCAGCCAUGCCGCGUGAGUGAUGAAGGCCUUAGGGUUGUAAUGCUCUUUUGGCGGGGACGAUAAUGACGGUACCCGCAGAAUAAGCCCCGGCUAACUUCGUGCCAGCAGCCGCGGUAAUACGAAGGGGGCUAGCGUUGUUCGGAAUUACUGGGCGUAAAGCGCACGUAGGCGGACUAGCAAGUCAGGGGUGAAAUCCCGGGGCUCAACCUCGGAACUGCCUUUGAUACUGCCAGUCUAGAGUCCGGAAGAGGUGGGUGGAAUUCCUAGUGUAGAGGUGAAAUUCGCAGAUAUUAGGAAGAACACCGGUGGCGAAGGCGGCCCACUGGUCCGGAACUGACGCUGAGGUGCGAAAGCGUGGGGAGCAAAC
This 400-nucleotide ribosomal RNA is filed under the name uncultured bacterium. Its description in RNAcentral is "bacterial SSU rRNA". It matches the Rfam family "Bacterial small subunit ribosomal RNA", at positions 356 to 773 of the family's 1533-position model. The record is from RNAcentral.